Molecule: unclassified non-coding RNA, 336 nt
Filed under: soil metagenome
Description: partial contains 5.8S ribosomal RNA, internal transcribed spacer 2, and large subunit ribosomal RNA
Rfam family: 5.8S ribosomal RNA (bases 2-120)
Source: RNAcentral
UAUGAAGAACGCAGCGAAAUGCGAUAAGUAAUGUGAAUUGCAGAAUUCAGUGAAUCAUCGAAUCUUUGAACGCACAUUGCGCCCGCCAGUAUUCUGGCGGGCAUGCCUGUUCGAGCGUCAUUUCAACCAUCAAGCCCCAGGCUUGUGUUGGGGACCUGCGGCUGCCGCAGGCCCUGAAAACCAGUGGCGGGCUCGCUGUCACACCGGGCGUAGUAGAUUUUAUCUCGCUCAGGGCGUGCUGCGGGUUCCGGCCGUUAAAAAGCCUUUUUUACCCAAGGUUGACCUCGGAUCAGGUAGGAAGACCCGCUGAACUUAAGCAUAUCAAUAAGCGGAGGA